GGGUAAGUCUAAGCAUACCUGUCUGACCGAUAGCGUACCAGUACCGUGAGGGAAAGGUGAAAAGCACCCCGGGAGGGGAGUGAAAGAGUUCCUGAAACCGUGCGCCUACAAUCCGUCGGAGCCUCCUUGUGGGGUGACGGCGUGCCUAUCGAAAAAUGAGUCUGCGAGUCAGUGGUGCGUGGCGAGGCUAACCCGUGGUGGGGGAGCCGUAGCGAAGGCGAGUCUCAAAAGGCGUUUUGAGUCGCGCGCCCUGGACCCGAAGCGGGAUGAUCUAGCCCUGGGCAGGUUGAAGCGCGGGUAAGACCGCGUGGAGGACCGAACCCACCUGGGUUGAAAACCGGGGGGAUGACCUGGGGCUAGGGGUGAAAGGCCAAUCAAAUUCCGUGAUAGCUGGUUCUCUCCGAAAUGCAUUUAGGUGCAGCGUCGGUUGAUUGCGUCGCGGGGGUAGAGCUACCGGAUGCUUGCGGGCCCUUGUUGGGUACCAACAGCAGCCGAACUCCGAAUACCGUUGACGUGUAUUCCGGCAGUGAGUCGGCGGGGGAUAAGCUCCGUCGUCGAGAGGGAGACAGCCCAGACCGUCGUCUAAGGUCCCGAAGCGUGUGCUAAGUGGGAAAGGAUGUGGAGUCGCAUAGACAGCCAGGAGGUUGGCUCAGAAGCAGCCAUCCUUGAAAGAGUGCGUAACAGCUCACUGGUCUAGUGGUUCCGCGCCGACAAUGUAGCGGGGCUCAAGCACACCACCGAAGACGCGGCAGCGGCCUUUGCGGCCGUUGGGUAGGAGAGCGUCCCGCGUGGGGCGAAGCGGCCGGGGAACCGUGCCGUGGACCGCGCGGGAGUGAGAAUGCAGACAUGAGUAGCGAGAGACGGGUGAGGAUCCCGUCCGCUGGAUGACCAAGGGUUCCGGGGCCACGUUCGUCGUCCCCGGGUGAGUCGGGUCCUAAGGCGAGGCCGACAGGCGUAGUCGAAUGGAUGAACGGGUGGAUAUUCCCGUACCGACCAUGGACCGGCAAAACCGAGACGGUGAGUACUAACCUCCGCCUCGUGGUGGUUCCUUCCUUCGGGUUGGUAUCGCCGCGUGGUGUUGGGAGCGUAGCCGCAGUAGGUCAGCGCAGGGGUGACACGGAAUGGGAGCCGGCCGCGGAGGUGGUUUUCCGUGGUCAAGCACGCAGCCAGUCAUGUAGGCAAAUCCGCAUGGCGCGCAUGGCGAGGUGUGAUGAUGGGAGCCGUUAUGGCUCGAUAUCCGGUUGUCCAGGCCGUCGAGAAAAGCCUCGGCGUGAGGGCCAUGGCCGCCCGUACCCCAAACCGACACUGGUGGUCAGGUAGAGAAUACCAAGGCGAUCGAGCGAAUCCUGGUCAAGGAACUCGGCAAAUCACUCCCGUGCCUUCGGUAUAAGGGAGACCCGCUGGGGUGAACCGGCUAGCCCGGGGAGCUUUGGUGGGUGGCACAGACCAGGGGGUAGCGACUGUUUACCAAAAACACAGGUGCAUGCGAAGGCGAAAGCCGCUGUAUAUGCACUGACGCCUGCCCGGUGCCGGAAGGUUAAGAGGAUCCGUCAAUCCCUUCGGGGACGAAGCGGUGAAUUCAAGCCCCGGUAAACGGCGGUGGUAACUAUAACCAUCCUAAGGUAGCGAAAUUCCUUGUCGGGUAAGUUCCGACCUGCACGAAUGGCGUAACGACUUCCCCACUGUCUCGACCAGGAGCUCGGCGAAAUUGCAGUACGAGUAAAGAUGCUCGUUAAGCGCAGAAGGACGAAAAGACCCCGGGACCUUUACUAUACCUUGGUAUUGGCGUUAGGCGCGGAUUGUGUAGCAUAGGCGGGAGGCUUUGAAACGGUGGCGCCAGCCAUCGCGGAGCCGCAAGGUGAAAUACCGCUCUGUUCUCGUUUGACGUCUAACCUCGACAAGUCAUCCUUGUCAGGGACAGUGCCUGGCGGGUAGUUCAACUGGGGCGGUUGCCUCCCAAAGAGUAACGGAGGCGCUCAAAGGUCCGCUCAGCCCGGUUGGCAAUCGGGUGUCGAGUGUAAUCGCACAAGCGGGCUUGACUGCGAGGACGACGGUCCGAGCAGGGACGAAAGUCGGAGAUAGUGAUCCGGUGCCGGCGCACGGGCGCGGCAUCGCUCAACGGAUAAAAGGUACCCCGGGGAUAACAGGCUGAUCAUUCCCAAGAGUCCAUAUCGACGGGAUGGUUUGGCACCUCGAUGUCGGCUCGUCGCAUCCUGGGGCUGGAGCAGGUCCCAAGGGUUCGGCUGUUCGCCGAUUAAAGCGGCACGCGAGCUGGGUUCAGAACGUCGUGAGACAGUUUGGUCUCUAUCCUCUGCGCUCGUUGGAAUCCUGAGGAGGCCUGCCCAUAGUACGAGAGGACCUGGGUGGACG
RNAcentral lists this ribosomal RNA (2370 nucleotides) under human gut metagenome. RNAcentral describes it as "bacterial LSU rRNA". It matches the Rfam family "Bacterial large subunit ribosomal RNA", at positions 458 to 2703 of the family's 2925-position model. The record is from RNAcentral.